Molecule: ribosomal RNA, 385 nt
Filed under: uncultured microorganism
Description: bacterial SSU rRNA
Rfam family: Archaeal small subunit ribosomal RNA
Source: RNAcentral
GUGCACCAGGCGCGAAACCUCCGCAAUGCGGGAAACCGCGACGGGGACCCCGAGUGCCGUGGCAACGCCACGGCUUUUCCGGAGUGUAAAAGCUCCGGGAAUAAGGGCUGGGCAAGGCCGGUGGCAGCCGCCGCGGUAAUACCGGCGGCCCGAGUGGUGGCCGCUAUUAUUGGGCCUAAAGCGUCCGUAGCCGGGCCCGUAAGUCCCUGGCGAAAUCCCACGGCUCAACCGUGGGGCUUGCUGGGGAUACUGCGGGUCUUGGGACCGGGAGAGGCGGGGGUACCCCUGGGGUAGGGGUGAAAUCCUAUAAUCCCAGGGGGACCGCCAGUGGCGAAGGCGCCCCGCUGGAACGGGUCCGACGGUGAGGGACGAAGGCCAGGGGAGC